Molecule: ribosomal RNA, 1174 nt
Filed under: human gut metagenome
Description: bacterial LSU rRNA
Rfam family: Bacterial large subunit ribosomal RNA
Source: RNAcentral
GCCAUCCUUCAAAGAAAGCGUAAUAGCUCACUGAUCGAGUCCUCAUGCGCGGAAGAUGUAACGGGGCUAAGUCAAUAACCGAAAGCGCGGAUUUGCACGAUGAGUGCAAGUGGUAGGGGAGCGUUCUGUAAGCCUGCGAAGGUGGUUCGAGAGGACUGCUGGAGGUAUCAGAAGUGCGAAUGCUGACAUGAGUAACGUUAAAGCGGGUGAAAAGCCCGCUCGCCGUAAGCCCAAGGUUUCCUGCUCUACGUUCAUCGGAGCAGGGUGAGUCGGCCCCUAAGGCCAGGCUGAGAAGCGUAGUCGAUGGGAAGCAGAUUAAUAUUUCUGCACCAUGUGCAAGUGCGAUGGGGGGACGGAGUGCGAAAGAUCAUCCGGGUGUUGGAUGUCCCGGUUUGUGAGUGUAGAAGGCCGACAGGCAAAUCCGUCGGCGGAUCUUCGAGACAAAGCAUCGAGGUUCUACGGAACCGAAGUGAUCGGAAGUGCUUCCAGGAAAAGCCUCUAAGCUCCAGCUUGCAUAUGACCGUACCGUAAACCGACACUGGUGGGCGAGUUGAAUAUACUCAGGCGCUUGAGAGAACUCGGGAGAAGGAACUCGGCAAAUUGACACCGUAACUUCGGGAUAAGGUGUGCCUUUGUAGCGUGAAGAGAGAAACACUCGGAGCGUGAAGAGGCCUCAGAGAAUCGGUGGCUGCAACUGUUUAUUAAAAACACAGCACUCUGCAAAGACGAAAGUCGACGUAUAGGGUGUGAUGCCUGCCCGGUGCUGGAAGAUUAAGUGAUGGGGUGAGAGCUCCUGAUCGAAGUCCCAGUAAACGGCGGCCGUAACUAUAACGGUCCUAAGGUAGCGAAAUUCCUUGUCGGGUAAGUUCCGACCUGCACGAAUGGCAUAAUGAUGGCCACACUGUCUCCUCCCGAGACUCAGUGAAGUUGAAAUGUUUGUGAUGAUGCAAUCUCCCCGCGGCUAGACGGAAAGACCCCAUGAACCUUUACUGUAGCUUUGCAUUGGACUUUGAACCGAUUUGUGUAGGAUAGGCGGGAGGCAGAGAAAGCGCAACGCCAGUUGUGCCGGAGCCGACGUUGAAAUACCGCCCUGAUUUGUUUGAGGUUCUAACCGCGACCCGUGAGCCGGGUUCGGGACCGUGCAUGGCAGGCAGUUUGACUGGGGCGGUCUCCU